RNAcentral lists this ribosomal RNA (490 nucleotides) under uncultured bacterium. Its description in RNAcentral is "partial 16S ribosomal RNA". It matches the Rfam family "Bacterial small subunit ribosomal RNA", at positions 30 to 507 of the family's 1533-position model. The record is from RNAcentral.
AUUGAACGCUGGCGGCAGGCCUAACACAUGCAAGUCGAACGGUAACAGGAAGCAGCUUGCUGCUUCGCUGACGAGUGGCGGACGGGUGAGUAAUGUCUGGGAAGCUGCCUGAUGGAGGGGGGUAACUACUGGAAACGGUAGCUAAUACCGCAUAAUGUCGCAAGACCAAAGAGGGGGACCUUCGGGCCUCUUGCCAUCGGAUGUGCCCAGAUGGGAUUAGCUUGUUGGUGGGGUAACGGCUCACCAAGGCGACGAUCCCUAGCUGGUCUGAGAGGAUGACCAGCCACACUGGAACUGAGACACGGUCCAGACUCCUACGGGAGGCAGCAGUGGGGAAUAUUGCACAAUGGGCGCAAGCCUGAUGCAGCCAUGCCGCGUGUAUGAAGAAGGCCUUCGGGUUGUAAAGUACUUCCAGCGGGGAGGAAGGGAGUAAAGUUAAUACCUUUGCUCAUUGACGUUACCCGCAGAAGAAGCACCGGCUAACUCCGUG